Molecule: transfer RNA, 59 nt
Filed under: Uromastyx princeps
Lineage: Eukaryota; Metazoa; Chordata; Lepidosauria; Squamata; Agamidae
Description: tRNA-Ser
Source: RNAcentral
GACGGGGAGAAAGCUGGAAUGCUACUCCUAACACCCAAGACUUGACCUUGGACCCGUCG